This 711-nucleotide ribosomal RNA is filed under the name uncultured bacterium. Its description in RNAcentral is "bacterial SSU rRNA". It matches the Rfam family "Bacterial small subunit ribosomal RNA", at positions 81 to 788 of the family's 1533-position model. The record is from RNAcentral.
UUCUUUGCUGACGAGUGGCGGACGGGUGAGUAAUGUCUGGGAAACUGCCUGAUGGAGGGGGAUAACUACUGGAAACGGUAGCUAAUACCGCAUAACGUCGCAAGACCAAAGAGGGGGACCUUCGGGCCUCUUGCCAUCGGAUGUGCCCAGAUGGGAUUAGCUUGUUGGUGGGGUAACGGCUCACCAAGGCGACGAUCCCUAGCUGGUCUGAGAGGAUGACCAGCCACACUGGAACUGAGACACGGUCCAGACUCCUACGGGAGGCAGCAGUGGGGAAUAUUGCACAAUGGGCGCAAGCCUGAUGCAGCCAUGCCGCGUGUAUGAAGAAGGCCUUCGGGUUGUAAAGUACUUUCAGCGGGGAGGAAGGGAGUAAAGUUAAUACCUUUGCUCAUUGACGUUACCCGCAGAAGAAGCACCGGCUAACUCCGUGCCAGCAGCCGCGGUAAUACGGAGGGUGCAAGCGUUAAUCGGAAUUACUGGGCGUAAAGCGCACGCAGGCGGUUUGUUAAGUCAGAUGUGAAAUCCCCGGGCUCAACCUGGGAACUGCAUCUGAUACUGGCAAGCUUGAGUCUCGUAGAGGGGGGUAGAAUUCCAGGUGUAGCGGUGAAAUGCGUAGAGAUCUGGAGGAAUACCGGUGGCGAAGGCGGCCCCCUGGACGAAGACUGACGCUCAGGUGCGAAAGCGUGGGGAGCAAACAGGAUUAGAUACCCU